RNAcentral lists this ribosomal RNA (253 nucleotides) under uncultured bacterium. RNAcentral's name for it is "partial 16S ribosomal RNA". It matches the Rfam family "Bacterial small subunit ribosomal RNA", at positions 524 to 776 of the family's 1533-position model. The record is from RNAcentral.
UACGUAGGGAGCAAGCGUUGUCCGGAUUCACUGGGUGUAAAGGGUGCGUAGGCGGGAGAAUAAGUCAGCGGUGAAAUCUUACGGCUCAACCGUGAAACUGCCGUUGAUACUGUUUUUCUUGAGUUCGGGAGAGGUUGAUGGAAUUCCAGGUGUAGCGGUGAAAUGCGUAGAUAUCUGGAGGAACACCGGUGGCGAAGGCGGCAUCCUGGACCGGCAUUGACGCUGAGGCGCGAAAGCCAGGGGAGCAAACGGG